AGUGCGGACCUUUCUUCAGCCUCUGUGCGACCGAGCCGCGCGCCAGGCUCCUGUGCGAGGAGGACGCGCUGACUCCCUCCGACCUGGGCUCCGAUGGAGCAGAAAUAGCGGGACCUGGACUUGUGGCGCGCCUGGUGCCACAUCUCGGGCUCUGCGAGCGUCCUGGCGCGGGAUCCUGCCGUGAGAAGGAGUUGGGGCGGGGGACCCGGCGGGGCAUUGCGGGAGAAGGCCUGGGAUCCCUGGGAGCCUUGUAGCGUGGGGGAGUUCACUGUGUAGAGAGGUUUCAUGUCUUCAUCUAUAUAGUCACUUAUUUGUCUUAAAGUUCUCGAAAUUCCCUCUUAGAGAAGGAGAAAGUUAGAGAACUGGAGGCUGCGUACCCUGAUUACGCAGAAGGGAAGCAGCCUCGCAUUCCCCGGGGCAGGCCCCCGCCCGCGCGUCCCGCCAGUAGGGGAAUUUAGCGGACGGCUGCGGUUGUCUGGUGAAAGGCUAUCCAAGGAUAAGGGGCUUCACUUUUCCCAAGUAGGGGAAAGAGAAGGGGUCUACAGGGCUAGGGGUGGAGGGAGCGGAUGCAGUGAGCAGCCUCCGCAGAGAAAUUGACAAUUUAACCAGGGACCUGCGGCAGAGACAAGGCGGAGACACUCCCUUGCCCAGGAAAGCCGCCAGAGUCCGGCUUGUACCUGGGGAAGAAUCCUUAAGACGGUCUGGCCCAACACUCCUUUGCUCACAGAGAAAGGGGAGAAGACUCCCGAGGGUGAAAAUGGUACAUUCGGAGCUGGAACUCAGCUCGCUGACCCCAAGCAGUGUUCCCUUCUUUUCGCCAGGUUUGCAUCCAAGAGAGGGGAGGACAGGGGCAAAAGGAUGCAGGGAGGCUGCUGAUUUCCACUGAAGAGCUAAUUUCCUGUGAGACAUUAACAGUGAUUUAAGAAAAAGAUUCCUGUAACUGUAAUGUCUUACAAUAACAGAAUGCAGGAGAGCACAUAUCAAUGAAGAAAAGACAAAAUGUACUUAUCCAUGAAGCUGAGGUUAAGAAACCAGUG
RNAcentral lists this long non-coding RNA (1037 nucleotides) under Homo sapiens (human). Its description in RNAcentral is "non-protein coding MAGI2-AS3:74". Lineage: Eukaryota; Metazoa; Chordata; Mammalia; Primates; Hominidae. The record is from RNAcentral.